UCGCUCUGGCAGCGUAUACACUACAAGUGGAACAGUACAGAGAAGAUUAGCAUAGUCCCUGUACAAGGUGACAUGCUUCUUAGCAGUUAAGGCAUUUGCCUGU
Molecule: small nuclear RNA, 103 nt
Organism: Jaculus jaculus (lesser Egyptian jerboa)
Lineage: Eukaryota; Metazoa; Chordata; Mammalia; Rodentia; Dipodidae
Source: RefSeq, a predicted model, not a curated record